Molecule: ribosomal RNA, 1446 nt
Filed under: uncultured organism
Description: SSU rRNA
Rfam family: Bacterial small subunit ribosomal RNA
Source: RNAcentral
CGCUAGCUACAGGCUUAACACAUGCAAGUCGAGGGGCAUCAGGAAGAAAGCUUGCUUUCUUUGCUGGCGACCGGCGCACGGGUGAGUAACACGUAUCCAACCUGCCCUUUACUCGGGGAUAGCCUUUCGAAAGAAAGAUUAAUACCCGAUAGCAUAAUGAUUCCGCAUGGUUUGAUUAUUAAAGGAUUCCGGUAAAGGAUGGGGAUGCGUUCCAUUAGGUUGUUGGUGAGGUCACGGCUCACCAAGCCUUCGAUGGAUAGGGGUUCUGAGAGGAAGGUCCCCCACAUUGGAACUGAGACACGGUCCAAACUCCUACGGGAGGCAGCAGUGAGGAAUAUUGGUCAAUGGGCGCUAGCCUGAACCAGCCAAGUAGCGUGAAGGAUGAAGGCUCUAUGGGUCGUAAACUUCUUUUAUAUAAGAAUAAAGUGCAGUAUGUAUACUGUUUUGUAUGUAUUAUAUGAAUAAGGAUCGGCUAACUCCGUGCCAGCAGCCGCGGUAAUACGGAGGAUCCGAGCGUUAUCCGGAUUUAUUGGGUUUAAAGGGAGCGUAAGUGGACUGCUAAGUCAGUUGUGAAAGUUGCGGCUUCAACCGUAAAAAUUGCAGUUGAUACUGUCAGUCUUGAGUACAGUAGAGGUGGGGCGGAAUUCGUGGUGUAGCGGUGAAAUGCUUAGAUAUCACGAAGAACUCCGAUUGCGAAGGCAGCUCACUGGACUGCAACUGACACUGAUGCUCGAAAGUGUGGGUAUCAAACAGGAUUAGAUACCCUGGUAGUCCACACAGUAAACGAUGAAUACUCGCUGUUUGCGAUAUACAGUAAGCGGCCAAGCGAAAGCAUUAAGUAUUCCACCUGGGGAGUACGCCGGCAACGGUGAAACUCAAAGGAAUUGACGGGGGCCCGCACAAGCGGAGGAACAUGUGGUUUAAUUCGAUGAUACGCGAGGAACCUUACCCGGGCUUAAAUUGCAGUGGAAUGAUGUGGAAACAUGUCAGUGAGCAAUCACCGCUGUGAAGGUGCUGCAUGGUUGUCGUCAGCUCGUGCCGUGAGGUGUCGGCUUAAGUGCCAUAACGAGCGCAACCCUUAUCUUUAGUUACUAACAGGUCAUGCUGAGGACUCUAGAGAGACUGCCGUCGUAAGAUGUGAGGAAGGUGGGGAUGACGUCAAAUCAGCACGGCCCUUACGUCCGGGGCUACACACGUGUUACAAUGGGGGGUACAGAAGGCAGCUAGCGGGUGACCGUAUGCUAAUCCCAAAAUCCUCUCUCAGUUCGGAUCGAAGUCUGCAACCCGACUUCGUGAAGCUGGAUUCGCUAGUAAUCGCGCAUCAGCCACGGCGCGGUGAAUACGUUCCCGGGCCUUGUACACACCGCCCGUCAAGCCAUGGGAGCCGGGGGUACCUGAAGUACGUAACCGCAAGGAUCGUCCUAGGGUAAAACUGGUGACUGGGGC